RNAcentral lists this ribosomal RNA (497 nucleotides) under uncultured bacterium. Its description in RNAcentral is "partial 16S ribosomal RNA". It matches the Rfam family "Bacterial small subunit ribosomal RNA", at positions 28 to 507 of the family's 1533-position model. The record is from RNAcentral.
GAUGAACGCUGGCGGCGUGCCUAAUACAUGCAAGUCGAGCGAACGGACGAGAAGCUUGCUUCUCUGAUGUUAGCGGCGGACGGGUGAGUAACACGUGGAUAACCUACCUAUAAGACUGGGAUAACUUCGGGAAACCGGAGCUAAUACCGGAUAAUAUUUUGAACCGCAUGGUUCAAAAGUGAAAGACGGUCUUGCUGUCACUUAUAGAUGGAUCCGCGCUGCAUUAGCUAGUUGGUAAGGUAACGGCUUACCAAGGCAACGAUGCUUAGCCGACCUGAGAGGGUGAUCGGCCACACUGGAACUGAGACACGGUCCAGACUCCUACGGGAGGCAGCAGUAGGGAAUCUUCCGCAAUGGGCGAAAGCCUGGCGGAGCAACGCCGCGUGAGUGAUGAAGGUCUUCGGAUCGUAAAACUCUGUUAUUAGGGAAGAACAUAUGUGUAAGUAACUGUGCACAUCUUGACGGUACCUAAUCAGAAAGCCACGGCUAACUACGUG